UACGGGGGGGGCAAGCGUUGUUCGGAAUUACUGGGCGUAAAGGGUGCGUAGGCGGCUUUCUAAGUUGGAUGUGAAAACUAUGGGCUCAACCCAUAGCCUGCAUCCAAAACUGGAGAGCUUGGGUUCUGGAGGGGAAAGCGGAAUUCCUAGUGUAGCGGUGAAAUGCGUAGAUAUCAGGAGGAACACCGGUGGCGAAGGCGGCUUUCUGGACAGACACCGACGCUGAGGCACGAAAGUUAGGGGAGCAAACAGG
RNAcentral lists this ribosomal RNA (253 nucleotides) under uncultured bacterium. Its description in RNAcentral is "partial 16S ribosomal RNA". It matches the Rfam family "Bacterial small subunit ribosomal RNA", at positions 524 to 776 of the family's 1533-position model. The record is from RNAcentral.